Molecule: long non-coding RNA, 866 nt
Organism: Colias croceus (clouded yellow)
Lineage: Eukaryota; Metazoa; Arthropoda; Insecta; Lepidoptera; Pieridae
Exons: 2
Source: RefSeq, a predicted model, not a curated record
GUAAGUCUAUAAUAUAUUCUAUUCAUUAUCGAAAGGACGACGCGACGCCCGCGCACGCUUCUUCCCCCUCUCGUUCGCUUCUUGUUUACGUGAUUUUUGGGAUACGCGUAGAGUUUAUGAUAUUGAAACGAAAAAUUAUAUGAAUAUUAAUUAUUUUUGUAUGAAAAUAAAAUCUAACAAAUUAUCAAAAGUCGUAGAACAAAUGGUGUUACUUAUGAUGUUAGCUGUCUUGUCCUGCGAAGUUACUAGUGUUUUACAAGUAACCCUGUAUAAAUUAAAAAGAAUUGCAUGUUUCUAUGUAAUUGUAAAUACAGCGUAUGAACUUUCUAAUUGUCCAAUCUACUUUCAAUGCGUUAACAUUUUAUAAACUACUAGCAGUCCGCCCCGGCUUCGCCCGUGGUACAUGUUUACAUUUUCACUUCAUACGAACCAUCCUCGUCCUUCAGUGAAUAUUAUAAAAAAGAGAAUUAACGAAAUCGGUUCAGCCGUUCUCAAAUUAUGCGUUUACCAACACAUUUUGCGAUUCAUUUUUAUAUUACAGACUACAUUCUUAGGUAUGUUAAUUGCAACUCCAUACCUACGAGAAAGAUGUGGAAUCUGCUCUUUUUCUUGAUUAAUAGGUGAUUAAUUUGAUUUUAUUUUCAUUGCAGUUUUUAAAUUCUACGUUAAGUCUAUGCGGCGUUACAAAUUACAACCAAAAACAUUUACAGCAGAUCGUCCUUUCCUAUUUUACUUGCAAGCAAAAAUAAAUAUAAUAUUUUCAGGAGCUUACCUCAAUUAGAUAACGAGUUCCUCGACGAACAUAUUUGUAACGAUGUCUAUGAUAUUAUGAAUGAAAAUGAAAUAAACAUUGUACAUACAACAAA